UCCUCUCUAUCCUCUCCCUUUUCUCCAUAGCAAACUCUGACGAACUCCAACUACUUCUAACCAUCAAAAUCGCCUUUCAAAACUCUAACACGGACAUAUUCAAUUCUUGGGAAUCGAAUAAGUCUGUAUGUAACUUUAAAGGAAUCACCUGCAACGAGGUGAGCUCGGUUAAAAAAAUUGAGCUCACCAACCAACAUCUCAGCGGCUCAGUUCCUUUCGACUCCAUAUGUCAGCUCAAAUCAUUGGAAAAGCUCUCGUUAGGGGCCAACACAUUAGUUGGCUCUGUUACCGAGGAUCUAAAUAACUGUACUCAGUUACGAUAUUUGGACCUCGGU
RNAcentral lists this long non-coding RNA (335 nucleotides) under Panax ginseng (ginseng). RNAcentral's name for it is "long non-coding RNA (PGIN_LNC006269)". The record is from RNAcentral. Lineage: Eukaryota; Viridiplantae; Streptophyta; Magnoliopsida; Apiales; Araliaceae.